This 460-nucleotide ribosomal RNA is filed under the name uncultured bacterium. RNAcentral describes it as "partial 16S ribosomal RNA". It matches the Rfam family "Bacterial small subunit ribosomal RNA", at positions 338 to 795 of the family's 1533-position model. The record is from RNAcentral.
CCUACGUGAGGCAGCAGUGAGGAAUAUUGGUCAAUGGACGAGAGUCUGAAUCAGCCAAGUAGCGUGAAGGAUGACUGCCCUAUGGGUUGUACACUUCUUUUAUAUGGGAAUAAAAUGUUCCACGUGUGGGAUUUUGUAUGUACCAUAUGAAUAAGGAUCGGCUAACUCCGUGCCAGCAGCCGCGGUAAUACGGAGGAUCCGAGCGUUAUCCGGAUUUAUUGGGUUUAAAGGGAGCGUAGGUGGGUUGUUAAGUCAGUUGUGAAAGUGUGCGGCUCAACCGUAAAAUUGCAGUUGAAACUGGCAGUCUUGAGUACAGUAGAGGUGGGCGGAAUUCGUGGUGUAGCGGUGAAAUGCUUAGAUAUCACGAAGAACUCCGAUUGCGAAGGCAGCUCACUGGACUGCAACUGACACUGAGGCUCGAAAGUGUGGGUAUCAAACAGGAUUAGAUACCCUGGUAGUC